GAACUUAAGCCCCAGUAAACGGCGGCCGUAACUAUACCGGUCCUAAGGUAGCGAAAUUCCUUGUCGGGUAAGUUCCGACCCGCACGAAAGGCGUAACGAUUUGGGCACUGUCGCAACAACAGACUCGGUGAAAUUGUAAUUCCGGUGAAGAUGCCGGAGACCUGCGACAGGACGGAAAGACCCCAUGGAGCUUUACUGUAGCUUGACAUUGGGUCUUGGUACUACAUGUACAGGAUAGGU
Molecule: ribosomal RNA, 240 nt
Filed under: Clostridioides difficile
Lineage: Bacteria; Bacillati; Bacillota; Clostridia; Peptostreptococcales; Peptostreptococcaceae
Description: partial 23S ribosomal RNA
Rfam family: Bacterial large subunit ribosomal RNA
Source: RNAcentral